AAACAGGUUACUCCUGACGAUUGUGUGGUGAAAAGGCCUAAUGAGGGUCACAAUACUGAAAAGCAAAAGGUUGCUUUGAGUCAAAUGCUUCAUGAACUAAGGGAAGAUCUGACAUUUCCUCAGAUACCUGAUCACCAAAAAGAACAUGGGGAUGAUCAAAAGCAGUACUUAACCCAGAGGAGGAAGUUUGGGUUCAUCCACAUCUCUCUUCCAGUGGCAAAGCAAAACAAGAAGAAAUCAUAAGCAUUAAACGAAACAUAUAGGACAAAUUUUAUGACUAAACACGAGUACAGUUCGGAAUACCAACCGUGACACUGUGUUGCAGCUGUUCUUGGGUGAUUUUUAUUUAUUGUUUUUAUGUUGCUGGCAUCUUUGGAUAUUGGUUUUGAAAAAGGUGUGUCUGGAGUUUGUAGUCAUGGAUUCUAUGACCAGCCCUGAUUUUUAUAUUUAUU
This 452-nucleotide long non-coding RNA is filed under the name Gossypium barbadense (sea-island cotton). Its description in RNAcentral is "long non-coding RNA (GBAR_LNC004811)". The record is from RNAcentral. Lineage: Eukaryota; Viridiplantae; Streptophyta; Magnoliopsida; Malvales; Malvaceae.